This 3281-nucleotide long non-coding RNA is filed under the name Homo sapiens (human). RNAcentral describes it as "HSALNT0082507". The record is from RNAcentral. Lineage: Eukaryota; Metazoa; Chordata; Mammalia; Primates; Hominidae.
CAUAAUUAGAAAAGUAUCACCAUUUUCCUGGGACAAAAAUAUGUAAGUUUAAACAUUUUUAGUGCCAGGUCAGUAGUCACGAUUUACCAACAGCAUUUUUUAUUUUAAAAAUACAGUUAGUGACUACACCAUUGGCUAACAAACUGAGACUUAAAGCAUUCUCUAGAUGCAAAUGCUACAAAUAAAUCAAAUUAUUAGGCAUAUUCACUAAUACUUACAAACUUAACUUCAUAUAUAAAGCAAGGUAGAUCACCAGUGUGGCCAUGCAAACAGGGUUUGAGGACUUCAAUAUUUAAAGCAAGUUAGUCCAACCCACAGCCCAAGGGCCACAUGCAGCCCAGGAUGGCUUUGAAUGAGGCCCAACACAAAUUAGCAAAUUACUAAACUUACUUAAAAUGAUGGGAUUUUAUUUUUUGCCAUUUUUUGGUUUGUGUGUUUGGUUUUUAGCUCAUCAGCUUUGUUAGUGUUAGUGUAUUUUAUGUGUGGCCCAAGACAAUACUUCCAAUGUGGCCCAGGGAAGCCAAAAGAUUGGACACUCCUGAUUUAAAGGGAAAAGGGAGGGCAGAUGAAGAAAGAGGAUAAAAAAAAGAGAGAGAAGGUAGACAAAACAGGAAAGUGGUUAGUCUUUGGAGGCUUUGAUUAGCACUUACUGAAUCUACAUUUUACAUGUGAAAGGAGUGGGUAGCGAAACAGUGAAUUAUGCAUAGUGCUCAGUGCGUCUGCAUUUUUGCAUAAGAUAAAGUAAACAUAGAGGAGGUGCUCAAAUAUGCAUUCCUCUCAGGUGAGCCAAGGGAUGCCCUCUAGGCCUGUCUUUGUCAAGGUACCGGUGAAGAUAAGCUGUUAGUUUACAUUGUCAAGGUGAAAUAGAACAGCGUUCUGUUUUAGGGUAAAGCUCUUGGGGCCCACGAGGAAUUUCCUUGUGAGCAAUUUGUGAAGGAGGCCACCGGGGGAGACAUGUGGCCUUCUGUCUUUGCAGCUAUCUACUUAGGAACAAAAUGGAAGGCAGUUUUUGCAUGAUGCAGUUACUGAGCUUCACUUUUCCCUUUGGCAUAGUGAGUUUGGGGUCCUGAGAUUUUUAUAUUCCUUUCACAGCCUCACUAUACUUGAAUUAAAAUACAAUCUACAUGUUAAAACUGACCACAUCAUUCUUUCCUGUGUGUCUUCAAAGGAUUUAAGGCCCAUCCAGAUAAUCCAAGAUGAUCUCAUUUCAAAGCCUUAAUUAUAUCUUUGAUGACUCUUUUUCCAAAUAAGGUCUCAAUUAGAGGUUCCUGGAAUAAGACACGGACUCAUCUCCCUGGGGGCCACCAUUCAGCCUGAUCCGGAAGGAAGGCCAUGAUUUCAGCUCUCUGGGAUUUGAGACAAAGAGGCCCCUUUUCUUUCAUUUUAUCUUUUCAUGUCUCUUCUUGCCAUGUACCCACAUGAUUGAGUGUGGGCUGAGGGUGAAUCCAAGAAGGGCUUUGUUUUGUGGUCAGUACAGGCUUUGGUCCACAGAGACAACAAUACUUUCAAUACUCUUUUGUUCUGCCCCAGAGGAGCUCAACACAGAAUUGCCUAGAACAAGAAACUGGUGAGAGAAGCUGCAGCCUGUUGAGACUCCACAAGACUGAAGAUAUGAAAAGAGGAAAUAUGCAUGAAUGCCCGCACGGAGAACCACCCCCACCUGCUGCUCCCGCUCUAAUGAUCACGCCCAUUAUCAACUGGGGGAUGGCUCUGUGCCUUGUCCUUGCAUUACAUGGACCAAGAACACUUCACAGGACUCAGAGAGGCAAAAAUAGAUACAAAAGAAGAAGGAAUUACAGAAGAAGUCACAUAACAUUAUUGCCUACAACUGACUGUUUACCUUGAAUACUUGAAGACCAGAAUGAAGAUUCUUGGGGUGAAGAAUUACAGCCUUAGCAUGGAGCAGGCCUCGGUGCAUCGGCUUUCAGCUAGGCAUGCCUGCCAAUGUUCAACGUCCUCCUGGGAUACGGAAGGCACCGUGAUAGACAUCUGGGCAAGUCAACAGGAAGGUGGAUAUCCAAAUCUCUCUCUUCGCAAUGAGUUUCCAGUUAGAUGGAGGAGAGAGUAAUAAAACACAGAGCUGAGAUUCCUGACUUCACAGAUCCCUGAGGAGAUGUUUACUAAAGGGAAUCUUCUGGUCACUGUUACCUUCCUCCGUACUUACCUGCCUCAUGGAGAACCCGAAAGGAAGAAGCUAUACGACUGGGGACACAUGUCUUAGAAGCACACUCAUUAGAUAAAGUGUCGCAUACUCUUUGAUAAGAGGUUGCUGAAGUCAAAAGCAGCUCACUCCCAGUUCACUGAGCUUGAGUUCCGGCUGCAACUUGGCCUUGAGAUUUUUGAAACGUUGAUAUGGAAGAUAAAGAAAAACGCAGAUUCCUGUCUUCUAAGGAACAAAGGCUGGAAGACAGUUCUGCAGAUUCUGCCUUUGAGGGAUUAGAGGGAUGUGCCCAGGACCAGAUCUUCAGUUAUGCAAAUAUACCUUAGAGACCACAGUAAGAAAGACAUCGCUCUGAAAUGCUCUGGUCCCAAGGAAAAUAUUGCUCUAUAUAAUAAUGGAAAACGUUGUCUGUGUAUCAUGCUGAGCUGCAUUUUAUUUUGUACCCUUGAGAGAGCUUUUAUUUUCUUAUAAAUAAGGAUUGGUCUUGUUCUGGGUCUGAAAACUGUUGUGUAUUUUUGAGAUGUCUAUUUUUCUUUUCAGUUGCCUGUAAGAGAUUGGGAGCCGAGGGCCUGAGGGUGAAGCCUCGUUUGUGCAGGUGACUGUGGGACUCUGGUGUAAGUAACGCUGGGCCCACCCUGGUAAUGAAGGAAGACCCAGGCCCAGGCAGGGGCGGUGUCACAGGCACAGGGGCUCGCACCCUGGGCACUGACGGUGGCUGUCGCACCAGGGCCGCUCCUUGCAGAAACCUCACUGAGCCUGUGCCUGUUGAGUAGCUUCAUGAGGAGCGGAUAUCAGGCAGAGAAAGCCCGGGCAAGAGAGUGACACACGGGGCUUCUGCCCAGAACACGUGCGCCCACAAUCCCGGGAGCUGUACAAAUCCCAAGCGGGGAAGCGGAGGCCUCGACAGUUCAUGAUGCGGACAUGAAUGGGAAUGCGGCCGCUUGCCACACCUCCUUCUUCAUUUGGGGAAAUGCUUGAAGGUUUGUUUUGUGAAUGCUAGGUUAAGGUUUGGAAGUUUAUUUUAAAAAUUGACAUCAUGGCCGGGCGCGGUGGCUCACGCCUGUGAUCCCAGCACUUUGGGAGGCCGAGGCGGGCGGAUCACGAGGUCAGGAGAUCGAGA